This 468-nucleotide ribosomal RNA is filed under the name uncultured bacterium. RNAcentral's name for it is "partial 16S ribosomal RNA". It matches the Rfam family "Bacterial small subunit ribosomal RNA", at positions 28 to 507 of the family's 1533-position model. The record is from RNAcentral.
GACGAACGCUGGCGGCGUGCUUAACACAUGCAAGUCGAACGGAAAGGCCCUGCUUUUGUGGGGUGCUCGAGUGGCGAACGGGUGAGUAACACGUGAGUAACCUGCCCUUGACUUUGGGAUAACUUCAGGAAACUGGGGCUAAUACCGGAUAGGAGCUCCUGCUGCAUGGUGGGGGUUGGAAAGUUUCGGCGGUUGGGGAUGGACUCGCGGCUUAUCAGCUUGUUGGUGGGGUAGUGGCUUACCAAGGCUUUGACGGGUAGCCGGCCUGAGAGGGUGACCGGCGACAUGGGGACUGAGAUACGGCCCAGACUCCUACGGGAGGCGGCAGUGGGGAAUAUUGCACAAUGGGCGGAAGCCUGAUGCAGCAACGCCGCGUGCGGGAUGACGGCCUUCGGGUUGUAAACCGCUUUCGCCUGUGACGAAGCGUGAGUGACGGUAAUGGGUAAAGAAGCACCGGCUAACUACGUG